CUGUCAUCAAAAGAGCAUAACUCAGAAAGUGCUGCCAGAUCUCUGGUCUUUCCUCUCACUGCUCUGCUGUGUAAAUUCUGCUUGCUCCAAUGAAAUUAAGCCUCAUAGAUGUAAAAAGAGAUGAAGCAAUUCAAGAGAGAUCAAGUAUAAAGUAACUUUCAUGUUCCAUUCUCAGAAGUCACAAACCAUCAUGUGUGCCACAUUCUACUUAUCAGAAUGUGCUCUACUCAGAUAGUCUCCUGUCAGAAUACGGAAGCCAACCCAACAUGCAGAAAGUCCACCGUGUCUGAGAAUGACUCCCUCCAUUCACCUCCUCCCCUGCCAUUGAUCACUGCCAUGAUAGGUCAGGACAUUCAAUGCCAUUCCUCUUUGCCUCUGGUCAAAUCUUCUGAAACAUAACUUCCUCCAGAGAACUUCAGGAUGAGGAUGAAGUACCCAUCACAGGACUUUGCCUGAGAUUACAUCUGCCUGCUCCCUCCCCAUGUGAUCUACUCCCUCCUGCCUCCUUUCCAAUGUUCCCUGGAAGUGUUUUCUUAAUAAAUACAUCCACAUGAAUCAUCCUCUUGGGGUGUGCUUCUCAGAAACCCAACUACAGCUCAGUAUUUGCAGCCAUAGCACUGAUCAGAUGACUCUCUCCUACAGAAAAUUUG
This is a long non-coding RNA of Heterocephalus glaber (naked mole-rat), 650 nucleotides long. The record is from Ensembl. NCBI's taxonomy places the organism in Eukaryota, Metazoa, Chordata, Mammalia, Rodentia, Bathyergidae.